This 360-nucleotide ribosomal RNA is filed under the name uncultured bacterium. Its description in RNAcentral is "bacterial SSU rRNA". It matches the Rfam family "Bacterial small subunit ribosomal RNA", at positions 29 to 418 of the family's 1533-position model. The record is from RNAcentral.
AACGAACGCUGGCGGCAUGCCUAACACAUGCAAGUCGAACGAGAUCUUCGGAUCUAGUGGCGCACGGGUGCGUAACGCGUGGGAAUCUGCCCUUUGCUUCGGAAUAACAGUUAGAAAUGACUGCUAAUACCGGAUGAUGUCUUCGGACCAAAGAUUUAUCGGCAAAGGAUGAGCCCGCGUAGGAUUAGGUAGUUGGUGGGGUAAAGGCCUACCAAGCCGACGAUCCUUAGCUGGUCUGAGAGGAUGAUCAGCCACACUGGGACUGAGACACGGCCCAGACUCCUACGGGAGGCAGCAGUGGGGAAUAUUGGACAAUGGGCGAAAGCUGAUCCAGCAAUGCGCGUGAGUGAUGAAGGCCUU